RNAcentral lists this transfer RNA (75 nucleotides) under Bos taurus (domestic cattle). It matches the Rfam family "tRNA". Rfam says of the family: Transfer RNA (tRNA) molecules are approximately 80 nucleotides in length. RNAcentral also lists the same sequence under 2 other names. The record is from Rfam by way of RNAcentral. Lineage: Eukaryota; Metazoa; Chordata; Mammalia; Artiodactyla; Bovidae.
CCCCUGGUGGUCCACAGUGGUUAAGACUCUGAGCUCCCAAUUCAGGGGGCCCAGGUUUGAUCCCUGGUCAGGGAA